Molecule: small RNA, 724 nt
Filed under: Pongo abelii (Sumatran orangutan)
Lineage: Eukaryota; Metazoa; Chordata; Mammalia; Primates; Hominidae
Description: retained intron
Source: RNAcentral
CAAAACGGUAUACUUUUAAGAAUCAACCUGAGACUUCCCUGUGUGUUCAUCCCAAGUGUGGGCUUGAGGGAAUUUCCAGAUUUUUCUCAACGCACAGUGCCCCAGCAGACUGCAUCACUGAGCAGCACCACAGUGACGUUAACUUUGAAGGCUAAGCUUUCAAAGCAAGCCUUACCCACCCUUGCCAUAGAAAAUUCUCAGACAUGCAGUCAUUAAAUGAGCUGACUUAAAGCAAAAGACUCAGGGUGCGAAAAGGAACACAUGUCAGUUUGUUUGUGGAAAAUAAAUAAUUAUAGUUAGGCUUCCUCUCCCAGGAUGGAACUCCAACCUCGAAAACAUUUGAACACGUGACCAGUGAAAUUGGAGCAGAGGAAGCUGAGGAAGUUGGAGUUGAACACUUGUUACGAGAUAUCAAAGACACGACGGUGGGCACUCUGUCCCAGCGGAUCACAAACCAGGUCCAUGGUUUGAAGGGACUGAACUCCAAGCUUCUGGAUAUCAGGAGCUACCUGGAAAAAGUCGCCACAGGCAAGCUGCCCAUCAACCACCAGAUCAUCUACCAGCUGCAGGACGUCUUCAACCUGCUGCCAGACGUCAGCCUGCAGGAGUUUGUCAAGGCCUUUUACCUGAAGACCAACGACCAGAUGGUGGUAGUGUACUUGGCCUCGCUGAUCCGUUCCGUGGUCGCCCUGCACAACCUCAUCAACAACAAGAUUGCCAACCG